GUCCAGCUGACGAGUCUCAAAUAGGACGAAACGCGCGUCCUGGAC
This is a non-coding RNA of Schistosoma haematobium, 45 nucleotides long. Lineage: Eukaryota; Metazoa; Platyhelminthes; Trematoda; Strigeidida; Schistosomatidae. The record is from Rfam.